This is a non-coding RNA of Ictidomys tridecemlineatus (thirteen-lined ground squirrel), 1651 nucleotides long. Lineage: Eukaryota; Metazoa; Chordata; Mammalia; Rodentia; Sciuridae. The record is from RefSeq and is a predicted model, not a curated record.
CCCCUCUUCACUAUCACCUUUCAUGGUAUCUCUGCUAGCUUUGGGACCUGGAGCAAGUUACUUCACCUCUCUGAGCCUUGGCUUCUGAAUUUGUGAAAUAGAAUAAAAAUCACAAUAAGACCAUAGUGAUACCUACAUUUCACAGUUCUAUUUCACAGUUCUAUGGAGUUUAAAGGAGACCAUCGUUGCCAGGCUGGAUUCAUCUGGGACACCCCAGGAGGCUCAGGGAGACCUGCAGAGAAGAGGAGGAGGAGGACAACGAACAGGGGUGGAGGAUCCCUGCCUGUGAAGCUGCUUUUCCUGCAAGACCUGCAGAGUCUGCCACAGCAGCAGACAGCCUGGGAGGCCAUGCAGCUGAAGGAACAUGGAGGAUGAGCAGGUAUGAGUUGUGUGUGCUAAAUUGGAAAGAAUGAGACUCUGCUAGCAAAAUGAAACGAAACACAAACAGAAUUCUCAUAGAAAAUAAAGCAGCUUGGAGACAUGCUUCUGGAAAUGUGAAGCAGACAUAUUUCCCGCGAUUCCUCCCACUAAGUGCAACUAAAACUCCUGAACAUUAGAUAAAAAAAAAAUAAACACAAAUGGCUAGGGGUGUAGCUCCGUGGUAGAGCACUUAAAGUGUUUAGCGUGUGCAAGGUCCCUAGUUCGAUCCCCAGCAAUGCAAAAUAACAAAAAAUAUUAAAGAGACUCUACAGAUGGACAGAAGGAAGAUGACUGGUUGGCUAGGAACCUCAGAAGCUGAGGAAGGACAUAGUGUUACAUUCCCUGAGCUUCUGGGCAGCCAAGUCACACUAGAGGGUACAGAGAGAAAAAAUGAAGCCCAAUUAAAGUAGCUUCUUUAGUCAAAGGGCCAGAAAAGAGAAAAUCUAUUAAGACAGAAACUUUUUAUGAAAAUCAUGGUAAAACAUGCAUAACAAAAUGUACUGCUAUAGUUUGAUCUUGAACGUCCCCCGAAUACCCUUGUCUUGAAGGCUUGGAGCCAAGGAGCUAUCCUGCUCAUCCGUCUCCCCAUUCCACUAGUUCUCCCUUGUGCUCUUCCUGCCCCGUUUUCUGUGUAGCCUUGCUCUCCAGCUCCCCUGCCCUGACAGGAAUUCAGGAGCUAUGGGGAGGUGGUGGAACCUUCAGGAAGUGGGGCCUUGUAGGAAGAAGUUAGGUUAUUGGGGGUGUGCCCAUGAAGAGUACAUGGGACUCUAGCCCUUUUCUUCUCUCUCCCUCUCUCUCUCUGAUUUCUGUACAUUACAAGGUGCACAGGCCUCUACCACCCUGUGCUCCCACCAUGAUGUAUUGUGCUGCCACAGGUCCAAAGCAACAAGGUCAAGUGACCGAGGUCUGAAAUCUGUGAAACUGGGAGCCAAAAUAAACCUUUCCCUCUUGUAAGCUGCUUAUUGCUGGUAUUUUGUCACAGUAACAUAAAGCUAACCAACACAUUUACCAUUAGCCAUUUUUAAGUGCAUUGUUAUGACAGUAAGUACAUUCACUCUAUUGUACAAUCAUCACUAUUCAUCUCCCAAGGCUUUUUAUCAUCCCAAACUGAAACUUUGUACCCAUUAAAUAAUAACUCCUUUUUACCUUCUCUUCUCCAGCCCCUAAUAACCACUAUUAUAUUCUCAGGCUCUAUGCAUUUAAUUAUUCUUAAUACCUCACAUAAAUGGAA